GUUCGAGUCCCUUUUUUUGCU
RNAcentral lists this transfer RNA (21 nucleotides) under Phytophthora capsici. Its description in RNAcentral is "partial tRNA-Gly". The record is from RNAcentral. Lineage: Eukaryota; Oomycota; Peronosporomycetes; Peronosporales; Peronosporaceae. RNAcentral also lists the same sequence under 6 other names.